AACGUAGGUUCCGAGCGUUAUCCGGAUUUACUGGGCGUAAAGCGCGUUCAGGCGAUUUGGCAAGUCGGGCAUGAAAUCUCUCGGCUCAACCGGGAGAGGUUGUCCGAUACUGCUGGACUUGAGGGCAGUAGAGGGUGGUGGAAUUCCGGGUGUAGUGGUGAAAUGCGUAGAUAUCCGGAGGAACACCAGUGGCGAAAGCGGCCACCUGGACUGUACCUGACGCUGACACGCGAAAGCUAGGGGAGCGAACGGG
RNAcentral lists this ribosomal RNA (253 nucleotides) under uncultured bacterium. RNAcentral describes it as "partial 16S ribosomal RNA". It matches the Rfam family "Bacterial small subunit ribosomal RNA", at positions 524 to 776 of the family's 1533-position model. The record is from RNAcentral.